Molecule: unclassified non-coding RNA, 701 nt
Filed under: Hevea brasiliensis (rubber tree)
Lineage: Eukaryota; Viridiplantae; Streptophyta; Magnoliopsida; Malpighiales; Euphorbiaceae
Source: RNAcentral
GAAAGGAAGUGUACCACACAGAAGAGCGUACAGGAUAACACCACAACUCCAAACAUCAACCUCAGGACCAGCAUAUAGUCUACCAGAGAUCACCUCAGGAGCAGCAUAAUUGGGGCUUCCACAACUGGUCUUCAGAAAAUGACCGUCGCGCAUGAUGUUGCUCAAGCCAAAAUCAGCAAUUUUAACAUUGCAUUUUGAAUCCAGUAACAAGUUUUCUGGCUUUAGAUCCCGGUGUACCACCAUAUUUCGAUGGCAGUAUUCAACACCAGAUAUUAUCUGCUGAAAAAAUCGGCGGGCCUCAUCCUCCUGCAGUCUACCCUUCUCUACAAUGUAAUCAAAUAGCUCGCCGGACUUGACAUAUUCCAUUACAACAUAAAUAUCUGCAGGCGUCUCUAUCACCUCGUAUAGACGUAUAAUGUGAGGAUGCAUGAACAAUCUCAAUAUCUUGAUCUCCCGCCUCACUUUUUCUUCCAUUUCCAUACUCUUUAUUUUUCGACGGUUGAGAAUCUUGAUGGCAACUUUGUGCCCCGUCAGUGCAUGCUCUGCGAUUUUCACCUUGCCAAAGGAACCGAUGCCUAAUGUCUUCCCUAGUUUGUAAUUUUGCAAAAACACAUCAGCACUGUUGCCUCCUUUGCCAGGCCCCUCCAUUUCCACUGGACGGCGGCGGCGAUGGGCGGCGGCGGAGGAGGGGGGAGGGUGGG